UAAGGAAUAUUGCGCAAUGGGCGACAGCCUGACGCAGCGACGCCGCGUGGGGGAUGAAGGUCUUCGGAUUGUAAACCCCUUUCGGCAGGGAAGAUGGAACGGGUAACCGUUCGGACGGUACCUGCAGAAGCAGCCACGGCUAACUUCGUGCCAGCAGCCGCGGUAAUACGAAGGUGGCAAGCGUUGUUCGGAUUUACUGGGCGUACAGGGAGCGUAGGCGGUUGGGUAAGCCCUCCGUGAAAUCUCCGGGCCUAACCCGGAAAGUGCGGAGGGGACUGCUCGGCUAGAGGAUGGGAGAGGAGCGCGGAAUUCCCGGUGUAGCGGUGAAAUGCGUAGAGAUCGGGAGGAAGGCCGGUGGCGAAGGCGGCGCUCUGGAACAUUUCUGACGCUGAGGCUCGAAAGCGUGGGGAGCAAACAGGAUUAGAUACCCUCGUAGUCCCUGAGCGG
RNAcentral lists this ribosomal RNA (447 nucleotides) under uncultured bacterium. RNAcentral's name for it is "bacterial SSU rRNA". It matches the Rfam family "Bacterial small subunit ribosomal RNA", at positions 355 to 802 of the family's 1533-position model. The record is from RNAcentral.